This is a long non-coding RNA of Prunus persica (peach), 1640 nucleotides long. RefSeq lists it as uncharacterized. Lineage: Eukaryota; Viridiplantae; Streptophyta; Magnoliopsida; Rosales; Rosaceae. The transcript is spliced from 8 exons. The record is from RefSeq and is a predicted model, not a curated record.
UUUCUAUUUCUCUUUUGCUUUCAAUGUUAGUUUUGAUUUCAUUUGGGUUAGAUUUGAGUACGAUUGUGACUCUGAGUCUGAUUCUCUAUUCCCGAAUUCCCUAGUUCUCUAGGUUUGAUUUGAUAAAUAAAGGCUUUAAGCAAAACUUUGUGUCCUUAAGCAGCUAGGUUUUCUUUUGGUACUCAGGCAGAGCUUGAUUUUAGGUUCAAUUUUGAUUUCAGUUCUGAUUAUUGCAUUUUUUUUUUAUGUACUGCUUGUGUGAAUUUCAGUUUGCAGUGGACAUGUUCUGAUAUAAACAAUGCAUGUCCUGAUUAGACUGUUAUAUAUUGUGUUGAAUUUCACAAUCCAUUGAUUUUCUGACCAAUUUUGUUUGCUUUAGGCUAGUUUCAUUCAUCUACCUGUAAUGCAGUUGACCAUGAAUUUAAACAGCUUGGAAAUGUGGUCCUUUGAACUGAUUGUUCUUCUAUCUGGUCUUCUUCCAAACCCAAAGUUGGAAACCUCAGUGCUACAUUAUCAUCCCCUCGCCAAUACAGUUGAGGGUCUGGGUAAUUAUGUUUCGAUCUAUUCUACAUUUGCAGAAUGCUGCAUUCGUCUUGGUUCCUGGCGGAUUUGGAGAUCGUGGUGUGAAAGGUAUGAUAUUAGCUGCAAAGUAUGCCAGAUAGAACAAUGUUCCUUAUCUUGGGAUUUGUUUGGGCAUGCAGAUUUCCGUGAUUGAGUUCGCAAGAUCCGUUUUGAGUUUAGAAAGGGCGGACAGCACAGAGUUCGAUGAACAUACACCAAAUCCUGUUGUAGUUUUUAUGCAUAAGAGUUCAAGAACACAUAUGGGAAGCACAGUGAGACUGGGAUCCAGAAGAAUACUUUUCCAGACUCCUGAUUGCAUUACUUGAAAGCUGUACCAUAACUUGGGAGUAUGUGGAUGAACGGCAUCGGCAUAGAUAUGAGGUUGGUUGUAAUUUAGUUCAGGUGAAACAUGAUCUUUCACAAGUGCCUUUAUGUGGUGGACAUGGACUGAUUCCGUCAUGAUGAAGUUGAACCCGGAUGUUAUUGGAAUUCUUGAAGAAGCGGGCCUAAAAUUUGUAGGGAAGGAUGACAGUGGAAGACGAAUGGAGAUUUUAGAGCUUCCAAGCCAUCCAUUCUAUGUAGGAGUGCAAUUUCAUCCAGAAUUUAAAUCACGGCCUGGGAAGCCCUCAGCUCUCUUUUUAGGUCUUAUCUUGGCAGCAACAGGGCAGUUGGAAACAUAUCUUGACCAGCAUCCAAAUACAAGUUGACAGCAUUGAGUCACUGUCUCAAUAUUCCCAGAUAAUUUUUUCAAGUGCACUAGUAAAAAGAUUGCUAUAGCAGUUAUCCUCGACUUCAUCAUCAAUGAGGUCUGAUGGAUAAAGGGCAGAAGACAAUCUACCAGUGAUGAAUCUUAUGUUAUUUGUUUUUGUGAAGCACCUGACAUUUAGGUUGAACUUAAACAUGUAGCAUUUUGUUUUUGAGACAUCUUGUGAAUUUGUUGGAAGAAUGUUAGAUAUAUGGACUGCUUUUGAAUGCAAUGAAUUAUUCGAUGCUAUAAAUUUUAUCUACAGCACUGUUUAAAAGAAAUUAAUUGUGAUUUCAUAUUGUAAUACAAUAAAUAGAGAACAUGGAGAGGUAAA